UGCAAGUCGAGCGGAGUUAUUCCUUCGGGAAUAACUUAGCGGCGGACGGGUGAGUAACACGUAGGCAACCUGCCUGUAAGAUCGGGAUAACUACCGGAAACGGUAGCUAAGACCGAAUAAUCAGCUUGGUCGCAUGACCGAGCUGGGAAAAGCGGAGCAAUCUGCUACUUACAGAUGGGCCUGCGGCGCAUUAGCUAGUUGGUGGGGUAACGGCUCACCAAGGCGACGAUGCGUAGCCGACCUGAGAGGGUGAACGGCCACACUGGGACUGAGACACGGCCCAGACUCCUACGGGAGGCAGCAGUAGGGAAUCUUCCGCAAUGGACGCAAGUCUGACGGAGCAACGCCGCGUGAGUGAUGAAGGUUUUCGGAUCGUAAAGCUCUGUUGCCAGGGAAGAACGCUUGGGAGAGUAACUGCUCUCAAGGUGACGGUACCUGAGAAGAAAGCCCCGGCUAACUACGUGCCAGCAGCCGCGGUAAUACGUAGGGGGCAAGCGUUGUCCGGAAUUAUUGGGCGUAAAGCGCGCGCAGGCGGCUUUGUAAGUCUGGUGUUUAAACCUAGGGCUCAACCCUGGGUCGCAUUGGAAACUGCAAGGCUUGAGUGCAGAAGAGGAGAGUGGAAUUCCACGUGUAGCGGUGAAAUGCGUAGAGAUGUGGAGGAACACCAGUGGCGAAGGCGACUCUCUGGGCUGUAACUGACGCUGAGGCGCGAAAGCGUGGGGA
Molecule: ribosomal RNA, 723 nt
Filed under: Paenibacillus susongensis
Lineage: Bacteria; Bacillati; Bacillota; Bacilli; Caryophanales; Paenibacillaceae
Description: bacterial SSU rRNA
Rfam family: Bacterial small subunit ribosomal RNA
Source: RNAcentral